This 1964-nucleotide long non-coding RNA is filed under the name Monomorium pharaonis (pharaoh ant). Its description in RNAcentral is "uncharacterized LOC118647263". Lineage: Eukaryota; Metazoa; Arthropoda; Insecta; Hymenoptera; Formicidae. The record is from RNAcentral.
UUAUUUAAAAAAUUAAUGCAUGCAGAAAAUUCUAAUUUAUACAAUAAAAAUCUUUCUAAUUACUUUUAUAUUGUUUUUACAAAUAUAAAGGAUAAUUAUUCUUGCUAGUCUAAAAAGGUCAGAAAAGGAACCAUUUAUUUUGUUAUAUACAGAGUGUCACGAAACAUGUAGCAAAAAAUCGUAGUCUAUAAAUAAGACUUUUCACAAAAAAAAAUUUUAUUUUUAUAUAACUUUAAGUAAAUUAAUUUCUCUGAAGUUUUUUUCGUAGUUUGAACAAAGAUGUGGAUUUGCUGUCAUUUUCGGGUAGUGUUUUGGUAAUCAAAUUUUUGGUAAUCGUAUUUACCUGUACUGAUACUAUCAUCGCGUUUAACUUCUUUCAGGCAAUCUUGAUAUAAUCCGAUAUCUAACCUGAUGUCUUUAAGACAUGAAUUGAUAAGUUAACCAAAGCUAAAUUCGCAAAAGCGAUGAAACGUCGGUAAUUCUGCAAAAGUUACCAUAUCCAUGUCGCAAGAUUGUGCAAAUGUAAUAACAAAAACAAAUGUGAAAAAAAUCUGGUAAUUAUGUGGAAAUCAUUAAAAAAUACAACUUUUUUUCACAGCUCACGUCAUCUAUUAGAAGGACAAAAACAGUGAACAAUAGAUAUUACUUGUAUAAAAAAACUGGUUCACACACAGAAAAUUGAUUUUCUGAGAGCCAAUUUCACCACAGUUAGAUCAAUCAACGGUCAAAAUUAUCAGAGCAACCAACAGAUGUAAAUAUAAAUGUCCUUGUCAUCUCAAAUGGCAAAGUUCACAUUUGUUGGCUGUCCUGAUAACUUUGACCAUCAGUUAAUCUAAUCGUGGUUGGUGAAAUUGGUCUUAAAUAAAAAAAAGGUACAAAAAAAACAAUGCAUAUCUAACAAAAAACUAAUUUCUCUUUUACAAAAAUUCAAAAAGCAAAUUUAUUUUUAUCGAUGAGAGUUUUAUAUCAAAGAAGUACUGUUUAUCACUCUUACAUUUUUGUAAUCUAAAACAUUCUUCUGUAACUUCCAGAAGAUUGUUAAUCUUAGUCUAGUGUUGUGUACCAUGUUUUAUGUGUACAUAUCCAAAAAUAGUUUGUUUCUUUUUUAUAUAAUUAGAAAAUAUGCACCCUUUUUUUUAGAAUAUUGUCCUAAAAUAAUAAAAUUCAUACAAAUAAGAAGUUGAGUUCAAUUAAGUUAAAGAUUUCAAGUUAUGUUUUUCAACUGGUUAUUAAGAUUUCUCCACCAAUUAAAAUUGCAUAAAAAUUUCGUUUAGAUAUUCUUGAUCUAAUAUUCACUUCAAUUAAGUGUACAAAUUUGUUAAAUAUUAAUAUUUACUAUUUUUCGACCCUUAAAAAGACAAAUUUUUGAACUCUUUUUGAAGACCUGCCAUUUUAACAAUAAUUCAGUUUUUUUUUAAUCGGAUACGCUUAACUGAAACCAUACUAAUAUAGAUUACAAGAAUAUUUUUCUUUUGAUUUUCAAAUUAUUAUUAGACGAGUUAUGGUGAUAACCAGUAAGGCACUUCUGUGUUGCUCUACAAUUUUACUUUAAAAUACAUAUUUCUUAAUAAAAAAAAUUUGUAAACUAAGUUCAAAGUAUGUACUUUUCAACCCAUUAACUCCGGCAUUUCUAUAAUGUAUAAGUAAAAAAAAAUCUUUAAUAUGGCCUUUUUUUAUUGCCGUCAUCCUGUUGUUUCCUUUUAAGUUUAACAGCUGUCUAGCCUACUACAGUUCCCAAAUUUCUUUCAAGUUUCAUAGCCCUAAGUUCUUUACUUCAAUCCAAAUUUGCCUAAUUCCUUGGACCAUAAUUCUCUGUCUUCAAGAUUUAUUUUAUGCUCGAUACAGUAUCUUCUUACUUCAACCCAUUAUCCUAGUUUUUCUUCAGCCUAAUUUCCUAGGCAAUAAUCGGCUCUCUCAAAGUCAAGAUUUCCUUAGGAUCUGACUCUCGAAAAAUAAAAAUAAAA